This 315-nucleotide ribosomal RNA is filed under the name Micropterus salmoides (largemouth bass). Its description in RNAcentral is "partial 16S ribosomal RNA". It matches the Rfam family "Bacterial large subunit ribosomal RNA", at positions 2173 to 2569 of the family's 2925-position model. The record is from RNAcentral. Lineage: Eukaryota; Metazoa; Chordata; Actinopteri; Centrarchiformes; Centrarchidae.
AGACGCCAAGGUAAAUCAUGUUAAACAUCCCGAAACAAAGGGCUAAACCAAAUGAAAAUUACCCCUAUGUCUUUGGUUGGGGCGACCGCGGGGAAACACAAAACCCCCAUGUGGAAUGGGACUACUCCCUCCUACAACUCAGAGCCUCCGCUCUAAUGAACAGAAUUUCUGACCAGCAAGAUCCGGCAACGCCGAUCAACGAACCGAGUUACCCCAGGGAUAACAGCGCAAUCCCCUUUUAGAGUCCAUAUCGACAAGGGGGUUUACGACCUCGAUGUUGGAUCAGGACAUCCUAAUGGUGCAGCCGCUAUUAAG